AAAGGAUGACGAGUUAGGCCUCUAUUUUCACCAAAUAUGUAACAAUAAUUCCCCUCCCGCUGAGGAAUAGAAGCAAAUACAGCAAAUUUAUCACACAACAUUUCCCUUUAAAUACCUCUCAUUUGCACACCACACACACUCAAACACACUUCCUCUUCUUCAUCUCUCUCUCUCCCUAUAAAGAGGGCUCCUUCUUAGCAUAUUAAUUCUUGCUCCUCCAAGAUUUCUCUCUUUCUCAAUAUCCCUCGUUUCCUCAAGCCCUCUAAUCCGACGUGGGGAUUUUUCGUUCCUCGCGAUGGGGAUCGGAUGCUCAUGGUGGACACUUACGCGACGUGGUGGCAAAAGCAGUUGCUGCAGGGUUCAGCAUUUGCGGAUCGUUGAUCAAAGAGGUCUCCCUAAUCGCCAAGAAUCCAAACUUCUACGCUUGGAUUCUGGGUGUUACUUGGGCCUUUUUAUCUAACAGAUGGCAUGGAAGGAUCCAUUCUGAUCUUGUCUAGAGCUGGUACUCGCACGGCCAUGGGGUUGUUCAUGGCGUCUCAAGAUAAAGUGUUAGCACUGCCGCAAGCCAUCAACUCCUUAAUCUUUGCCACGAAUAUCACAUAAGAAGUCGCCGCCGACGAAGCGGAGCUCGACCGCCUUGGAGUUGAACUUGAUGAAUUUGAGGGCGUCGAAGUGGGUGGCAUAUGAGUGCAAGUAAUCCAAGAUUUCUUGGUAGGAAGGGAAUUUCACGUUGUCCCUUUGAGUCCACGGAAAAUCCAGUCGAUGUGCGAGAACCCGGACAGCCUCCAUGCCGUGUAGCACAUCGACCGGAUUCUAAACCACCAAGUCUUGGUCCGGGGGAGGAAGGCGGCAGCAUGCUGGAGGUCGAGCAUCUCGCCACGGAGCUUCUCUUUGUUGGCGUUGAAGAGGUCCUGGGUAAGGAUGGUCUAGGUGAUGGCCAUGCCGACGUUGCCUACGCCCACGACGGUUAUCUUGGUGCUGCGUUUGGUAGGCCAGCGAUGUGUGUGAAGAGUUUUUUUGGUGAGGCCGAGGCCGCCGGGACCCAAGGAGGAGGUGCUCUUAUAUAUGCAUUGCUAGGAAUGAAGUUUUGUGUUUUAAUUGGGAGAUAAGAAUUUGAGAGUGCUAAUUAGCUAGCAUGCCCUUUCAUUAGACCCAAGGGGCAAUGGCCUAGGGGGCCCAAAAUAUGUAAUGUCCAAUGCUAUUAUUGACCCUAUUAUAAAAAAUAAAAAGAAAUAAAUAAAAAUUAUCCAUA
Long non-coding RNA from Salvia miltiorrhiza (redroot sage), 1252 nucleotides. RefSeq lists it as uncharacterized. The record is from RefSeq and is a predicted model, not a curated record. The transcript has 3 exons. NCBI's taxonomy places the organism in Eukaryota, Viridiplantae, Streptophyta, Magnoliopsida, Lamiales, Lamiaceae.